AAAAUUUAAAAUUAAAAUACUAAAAUAGUAUAUAAAUAUUUAUUGAAACUUAAAUAAUUUGGCGGUAUUUUAGUUCAUUUAGAGGAAUCUGUUUAAUAAUUGAUAUUCCACGAAUAAAUUUACUUAAUUUAUAAUUUUGUAUAUCGUUGUUGAAAAAAUAUUUUUUAAUAAAAUUAAUAUUUUAAAAUUAAUAUUUGUAAAUUUAAAUCAGAUCAAGAUGCAGAUUAUAAUUAAGAAUAUAAUGGAUUACAAUAAAUUUAUUUAAAUGAAUUUUAUUUUUUAAAAAUUAAUUGAAGGUGGAUUUAAAUGUAAUUUUAUUUAAUUUAAUAAAAUGAUUAAAAAUUAAAAUAUGU
This 353-nucleotide ribosomal RNA is filed under the name Acrapex sp. ACCAG3081. RNAcentral describes it as "partial 12S small subunit ribosomal RNA". Lineage: Eukaryota; Metazoa; Arthropoda; Insecta; Lepidoptera; Noctuidae. The record is from RNAcentral.